Molecule: long non-coding RNA, 402 nt
Organism: Limulus polyphemus (Atlantic horseshoe crab)
Lineage: Eukaryota; Metazoa; Arthropoda; Merostomata; Xiphosura; Limulidae
Exons: 3
Source: RefSeq, a predicted model, not a curated record
AUCAAAUGCUCUAUUCUUAUAUCAUAUGUGCAUCGGGAGAGUGAGCUUGUACACUUGUGGAGGUGUCCGGUUAGGCUUAACAUUAUAGCCUUUUUCUUAGACAUCAGAUUGAUGUGUGUUUAAAAAUCUCCAGUUGCAAAGAAUCUCUUUUUUUUUUAACUGGCAAAAUGAAUCAAAACCAAGAUCAAAGAUAUAAACCACAGAGCCCUGACCCUGUUGGUGAUAGUCCCACUACACAAGAUGUUUGUUCAGAAACUUCUGUAGUUGCUGAAAAGAAGAAAACACAUGCAUCUUUAUUGAAGGAAAAGUUUGCUGGAUUCAGGCGCACCCGUUCUCUCAAUGCUCCCAGUCCAAACUACCAGUUCGGACCUUGUGGAAGAAUAAUGAAAAAUUCGGCCAUGG